RNAcentral lists this ribosomal RNA (253 nucleotides) under uncultured prokaryote. RNAcentral describes it as "partial 16S ribosomal RNA". It matches the Rfam family "Bacterial small subunit ribosomal RNA", at positions 525 to 777 of the family's 1533-position model. The record is from RNAcentral.
ACGUAGGGUGCGAGCGUUGUCCGGAAUUACUGGGCGUAAAGAGCUCGUAGGCGGUUUGUCGCGUCGUCUGUGAAAUCCUCCAGCUUAACUGGGGGCGUGCAGGCGAUACGGGCAGACUUGAGUACUACAGGGGAGACUGGAAUUCCUGGUGUAGCGGUGAAAUGCGCAGAUAUCAGGAGGAACACCGGUGGCGAAGGCGGGUCUCUGGGUAGUAACUGACGCUGAGGAGCGAAAGCAUGGGUAGCGAACAGGA